CCCUUAGAUGUUCUGGGCCGCACGCACGCUACACUGAUGCAUUCAACGAGUCUAAAACCUGCUCUGAUAGGGGUGGGUAAUCUUUUGAAUGCGCAUCGUGAUUGGGAUAGAUGAUUGCAAUUUUUCAUCUUCAACGAGGAAUGCCUAGUAAACGCAAGUCAUCAGCUUGCAUUGAUUACGUCCCUGCCCUUUGUACACACCGCCCGUCGCUCCUACCGAUUGAAUGAUCCGAUGAAUAUCAUGGAUUGAGGAUGCAAGUAGGUUCGCCUAUCUUCAUCUUCGAGAAGUGAAGUAAAUCUUAUCAUUUAGAGGAAGGAGAAGUCGUAACA
RNAcentral lists this ribosomal RNA (329 nucleotides) under uncultured eukaryote. Its description in RNAcentral is "partial 18S ribosomal RNA". It matches the Rfam family "Eukaryotic small subunit ribosomal RNA", at positions 1470 to 1796 of the family's 1831-position model. The record is from RNAcentral.